RNAcentral lists this ribosomal RNA (253 nucleotides) under uncultured bacterium. Its description in RNAcentral is "partial 16S ribosomal RNA". It matches the Rfam family "Bacterial small subunit ribosomal RNA", at positions 524 to 776 of the family's 1533-position model. The record is from RNAcentral.
UACGUAGGUGGCAAGCGUUGUCCGGAAUUAUUGGGCGUAAAGCGCGCGCAGGCGGUCCUUUAAGUCUGAUGUGAAAGCCCACGGCUCAACCGUGGAGGGUCAUUGGAAACUGGGGGACUUGAGUGCAGGAGAGAAGAGUGGAAUUCCACGUGUAGCGGUGAAAUGCGUAGAUAUCAGGAGGAACACCGGUGGCGAAGGCGGCUUUCUGGACAGUAACUGACGCUGAGGCGCGAAAGCUAGGGGAGCAAACAGG